CCUGGCUCAGGACGAACGCUGGCGGCGUGCUUAACACAUGCAAGUCGAACGAUGAAGCCCUUCGGGGUGGAUUAGUGGCGAACGGGUGAGUAACACGUGGGCAAUCUGCCCUUCACUCUGGGACAAGCCCUGGAAACGGGGUCUAAUACCGGAUAACACUUUCUCUCUCCUGGGGGAAGGUUGAAAGCUCCGGCGGUGAAGGAUGAGCCCGCGGCCUAUCAGCUAGUUGGUGGGGUAAUGGCCUACCGAGGCGACGACGGGUAGCCGGCCUGAGAGGGCGACCGGCCACACUGGGACUGAGACACGGCCCAGACUCCUACGGGAGGCAGCAGUGGGGAAUAUUGCACAAUGGGCGAAAGCCUGAUGCAGCGACGCCGCGUGAGGGAUGACGGCUUCGGGUUGUAAACCUCUUUCAGCAGGGAAGAAGCGAAAGUGACGGUACCUGCAGAAGAAGCGCCGGCUAACUA
This 467-nucleotide ribosomal RNA is filed under the name Streptomyces sp. RNAcentral describes it as "bacterial SSU rRNA". It matches the Rfam family "Bacterial small subunit ribosomal RNA", at positions 18 to 503 of the family's 1533-position model. Lineage: Bacteria; Bacillati; Actinomycetota; Actinomycetes; Kitasatosporales; Streptomycetaceae. The record is from RNAcentral.